GACGAACGCUGGCGGCGUGCUUAACACAUGCAAGUCGAACGGAAAGGCCCUGCUUGCAGGGUACUCGAGUGGCGAACGGGUGAGUAACACGUGGGUGAUCUGCCCUGCACUUCGGGAUAAGCCUGGGAAACUGGGUCUAAUACCGGAUAGGAGCCAUUUUUAGUGUGAUGGUUGGAAAGUUUUUUCGGUGUAGGAUGAGCUCGCGGCCUAUCAGCUUGUUGGUGGGGUAAUGGCCUACCAAGGCGGCGACGGGUAGCCGGCCUGAGAGGGUGGACGGCCACAUUGGGACUGAGAUACGGCCCAGACUCCUACGGGAGGCAGCAGUGGGGAAUAUUGCACAAUGGGCGCAAGCCUGAUGCAGCGACGCCGCGUGGGGGAUGACGGCCUUCGGGUUGUAGACUCCUUUCGCUAGGGACGAAGCUUUUUGUGACGGUACCUAGAUGAGAAGCACCGGCUAACUACGUGCCAGCCGCCGCG
This 477-nucleotide ribosomal RNA is filed under the name uncultured Actinomycetales bacterium. Its description in RNAcentral is "bacterial SSU rRNA". It matches the Rfam family "Bacterial small subunit ribosomal RNA", at positions 28 to 519 of the family's 1533-position model. The record is from RNAcentral. Lineage: Bacteria; Bacillati; Actinomycetota; Actinomycetes; Actinomycetales.